CUCACAUCCUCAAUUGCAAUGGCAGUAGUCAUCUACCAACAAAAGCAUAAAACAGAAUCAGAAAAUACGACGAGUAAUACAAUCCAAAUAUACAAAUCCAGAAAACAAAGUAUAGAAAGGUAAAACUAGUAAAUCUAGAGACAAACUAAAUCAUUUCACCAAUUCAUAGUCAGACCGUGGACAACAUUAUCAGGACUAAAUUUCAACCUACUCAUCCAC
This is a non-coding RNA of Malus domestica (apple), 219 nucleotides long. NCBI's taxonomy places the organism in Eukaryota, Viridiplantae, Streptophyta, Magnoliopsida, Rosales, Rosaceae. The record is from RefSeq and is a predicted model, not a curated record.